CAAAGCAUCGAGAGUUCGGUGGUUUCCGAUGGGGUCGACGAACGUUGUCCCAAGGGUUGGAGGAAGCAGCGAGACGUAUUCGAAGAUGCCC
Molecule: non-coding RNA, 91 nt
Filed under: Grammatophora oceanica
Lineage: Eukaryota; Bacillariophyta; Fragilariophyceae; Rhabdonematales; Grammatophoraceae
Source: RNAcentral